AACAUCGCCUCUUGAAUAAAAAUAAGAGGUCCAGCCUGCCCAGUGACCAAUGUUCAACGGCCGCGGUAUCCUAACCGUGCGAAGGUAGCGUAAUCACUUGUUCUUUAAAUGAGGACUAGUAUGAACGGCAUCACGAGGGUUAUACUGUCUCCUCCAUCUAAUCAGUGAAACUAAUCUCCCCGUGAAGAAGCGGGGAUAAACCUAUAAGACGAGAAGACCCUAUGGAGCUUUAAACUUUCCCUCAAGCAUCACAAUAACUUUUCAAGUCACAGACUUUCCUUAUUUAUCCUGAUGCAGUGUAAGCAAGUUUUAGGUUGGGGUGACCACGGAGUACAAAAAAACCUCCACGCUGAACAUAGGCCUCUAAACCUUAAACAAAGGACCACAGCCCAAUGUAUUAAUAAAUUAACAUUCAUUGACCCAAUAUAUUUUUGAUCAACGAACCAAGUUACCCUAGGGAUAACAGCGCAAUCCUCUUCAAGAGUCCUUAUCGACAAGGGGGUUUACGACCUCGAUGUUGGAUCAGGGUAUCCCAGUGGUGCAGCCGCUACUAAUGGUUCGUUUGUUCAACGAUUAAAACCCUACGUGA
RNAcentral lists this ribosomal RNA (589 nucleotides) under Scinax cruentomma (Manaus snouted treefrog). RNAcentral's name for it is "partial large subunit ribosomal RNA". It matches the Rfam family "Bacterial large subunit ribosomal RNA", at positions 1812 to 2603 of the family's 2925-position model. Lineage: Eukaryota; Metazoa; Chordata; Amphibia; Anura; Hylidae. The record is from RNAcentral.